Molecule: ribosomal RNA, 363 nt
Filed under: uncultured bacterium
Lineage: Bacteria
Description: bacterial SSU rRNA
Rfam family: Bacterial small subunit ribosomal RNA
Source: RNAcentral
AGAGUUUGAUCCUGGCUCAGGAUGAACGCUGGCGGCGUGCUUAACACAUGCAAGUCGAACGAAGCACCUUGAUUCGAUUCUUCGGAUGAAGAUCUUGGUGACUGAGUGGCGGACGGGUGAGUAACGCGUAUCCAACCCGCCCACCACUUGGGGAUAACCUUGCGAAAGUAAGACUAAUACCCAAUGAUAUCUCUAGAAGACAUCUGAAAGAGAUUAAAGAUUUAUCGGUGAUGGAUGGGGAUGCGUCUGAUUAGCUUGUUGGCGGGGUAACGGCCCACCAAGGCGACGAUCAGUAGGGGUUCUGAGAGGAAGGUCCCCCACAUUGGAACUGAGACACGGUCCAAACUCCUACGGGAGGCAGCA